GCAGCAGCCACGGUAAUACAGAGGGUGCAAGCGUUAAUCGGAAUUACUGGGCGUAAAGCGCGCGUAGGUGGUUUGUUAAGUUGGAUGUGAAAUCCCCGGGCUCAACCUGGGAACUGCAUCCAAAACUGGCAAGCUAGAGUAUGGUAGAGGGUGGUGGAAUUUCCUGUGUAGCGGUGAAAUGCGUAGAUAUAGGAAGGAACACCAGUGGCGAAGGCGACCACCUGGACUGAUACUGACACUGAGGUGCGAAAGCGUGGGGAGCAAACAGGAUUAGAUACCCCCGUAGUCCCUGUCUCUUAUAC
Molecule: ribosomal RNA, 302 nt
Filed under: uncultured bacterium
Lineage: Bacteria
Description: partial 16S ribosomal RNA
Rfam family: Bacterial small subunit ribosomal RNA
Source: RNAcentral